This is a long non-coding RNA of Oryzias melastigma (Indian medaka), 366 nucleotides long. RefSeq lists it as uncharacterized. The transcript is spliced from 3 exons. The record is from RefSeq and is a predicted model, not a curated record. NCBI's taxonomy places the organism in Eukaryota, Metazoa, Chordata, Actinopteri, Beloniformes, Adrianichthyidae.
ACCGAGCUUUACUCCCCACAGCUCGCCUCCAAGGAGGACGACCCCCACACCAACGACCUGGUGGGGGGGCUGAUGAGUGAUGGGCUGCGGAGACUCUCUGGAAAUGAAUAUGUUUUCUCCAAAAACAUGAGCCAGAGUCAGCUGGCCAUCCCGGUCACCUUAAACGACGUUCCUCCAUCCAUCGCAGAGAUGCUGAACGACGAGGAGUGCUGGGAGUUCAACAUCCUGGAGCUGGAAGCAGCGACUCACAAGAGGUGAAGGACUCUGAGUAAAAGCAGCAGCAAAUACAGACUAGACAAACGUUGGCGGUAGCUCCUCCCACAUGUGGCCGAACAGUCAAGGACAUUUAUGAUGAGCGUCGAUCAG